GUAUGGUGCAAGCGUUAUCCGGAUUUACUGGGUGUAAAGGGAGCGUAGGUGGCAAGGCAAGCCAGAAGUGAAAACCCGGGGCUCAACCGCGGGAUUGCUUUUGGAACUGUCAUGCUAGAGUGCAGGGGGGGUGAGCGGAAUUCCUAGUGUAGCGGUGAAAUGCGUAGAUAUUAGGAGGAACACCGGAGGCGAAGGCGGCUCACUGGACUGUAACUGACACUGAGGCUCGAAAGCGUGGGGAGCAAACAGGAUUAGAUGCCCUGGUAGUCCACGCGGUAAACGAUGAAUACUAGAUGUCGGGUAGCAAAGCUAUUCGGUGUCGUCGCAAACGCAAUAAGUAUUCCACCUGGGGAGUACGUUCGCAAGAAUG
This 370-nucleotide ribosomal RNA is filed under the name uncultured bacterium. RNAcentral's name for it is "bacterial SSU rRNA". It matches the Rfam family "Bacterial small subunit ribosomal RNA", at positions 527 to 896 of the family's 1533-position model. The record is from RNAcentral.